Molecule: long non-coding RNA, 566 nt
Filed under: Drosophila guanche
Lineage: Eukaryota; Metazoa; Arthropoda; Insecta; Diptera; Drosophilidae
Source: RNAcentral
AAUCAGUAAGAGAGAGAGAGAAGGGAAGCAGGAGCAAACACACAAGCAGCUCAAGCACAUGGAGCGAGAAAGAGAGAGAGAGAGAGAUAGGAAGAGAGAGAUACCCACACAUAAAUGCAAGCAUUGGUGACUUUGUGUCAGCCACUUCACCCAGCGUCUGCCCCUCUGCCUUCCACCGCCUUCCGCCUUCUCCAUCAUUGUCACCUUGAGCUUUGGGUUAUUGGGUUUUUGCACACUCCUGCCCCUCUGCCACCCCACCUCAUCCUGAUGCACUUUGCACUCGGUUUAAGGUGACAACAACACCAGUGGACAAAUUGGUAGAUGAUGCAGACAGCAGGCGGCAGGCGGCAGGCAGAAGGCGAGCCAACAGGAAGUGAGAGAAUAUGCUAUAAAUGAAGGCUAUCAAAUGAAACUGAAGAGUACGGACGGAUGGAGGGAGAGGAAAGGAAAGGAAAGGAAAAGCAACAAAAGAUGGAGAUGUACACAUUAGAUGAAGGAGAGACAUCUUUGGAUGGAGAAAGAGACAUCUACUCGAUGUUGAUUUAGAUUUUGUCAUUAUUUUGCAC